Molecule: unclassified non-coding RNA, 861 nt
Filed under: Centruroides sculpturatus (bark scorpion)
Lineage: Eukaryota; Metazoa; Arthropoda; Arachnida; Scorpiones; Buthidae
Description: uncharacterized LOC111636201, transcript variant X2
Source: RNAcentral
CAGAGGGCGACCGGUAGCUAGGGGUCGGCGUAAAAUAUAUGGAAGUUAUCGUCAGUAUUAUCGAGUGAGAAUAAAAGGAAGUCGUUUGCGGACGGGAUCGACGCCCGAGUGGUAAUCUCCGGAGUGUCUCCGACCGUCGUCGUAUCUAAGGAACGGAGACUAACGGAGGACGAAUGUCGGAGAGCGCGGACACCAGCGAAGACAGCGCCGCUUCUCAGGACUGUCGGCGACGGACGGAGGGCGAAGACGAAGAGAAUUCGGGCAAGAGCGAGAGAAGUCGCAGUGCCCGCAUAGGGUUGUCCGGCCUGAAUCGAGACGGAAGAAGCGCUUUCUCCCCCUACAAACCAUCCACUGUUCUGACCAAUUUGCAAAGAGGGAAUGUCCAGACACAGACUGCCUGCCAACUUCCAGAAAGAAGCGUUCAUCAGUUAGCUGCUCAAGGUGAAUUGUUCAGUCAGCACUUUGGAGUAAAAAAGAAAAAGUCUAAGUGAAGAAGAAAAAUUAAACAAAACAUGCAAAAUAUGGAUUAAAAUGCAAUUGUAAUAGAAAUACAAGAGUAUACAUUGGAGAAACAGGAAGACAGUUAAAAAUACAAAUGAAAGAACAUGUAACAGCUUUAAGAUUUAAACAUCAGUGGUCACUGUGGACAAUAUGUCAAAAAUAAAUAAUUGUAAAAUAUUAUUAGAGUGAUGCCUCGUACUUUGAACUUUAUUCAUUCCGGGAGGUCGUUCAAAGUCUGAAGCAAUUUUUCCCCCAUAAGAAAUAAUGGAAAGGGAAUUAAUUCAUUCUCCAACCCUGAACAAUAUCCGUUUUGAUAAACUUAAAAUUGCAAAUACACAUAAUUUAAGGUAAAAAUAAUAC